This 272-nucleotide long non-coding RNA is filed under the name Capsicum annuum. Its description in RNAcentral is "long non-coding RNA (CANN_LNC012619)". Lineage: Eukaryota; Viridiplantae; Streptophyta; Magnoliopsida; Solanales; Solanaceae. The record is from RNAcentral.
UGGGAGUUGGUGCUAGAUCUGGACUAAGUUCGGUGAUUUAUUAAUAUUAUGUUUUGGUUCAAGUUUGGCAAUUAAUGGCAUGAGUUUUGGUUCAAGUCCGAAAAAUGAAGAUGAUAAUGAUAUGAGUUUUGGUUUGAGUCUAACAUUAAGAGGUUGUUUAUGGUAUUUUAUGGCAUGGAUGGAUUCAUGGUUAUGGUUUAAUAUUGGUAAAUUUAUGGAACUUCAGUCAUUUACACACUUGAUUGCACCCUCCGGGCUUAUGGGGGCCCGCA